CCUACGGGUGGCAGCAGUGGGGAAUAUUGCACAAUGGGCGAAAGCCUGAUGCAGCAACGCCGCGUGAGCGAUGAAGGCAUUCGGGUUGUAAAGCUCUGUCCUCAAGGAAGAAAAUGACGGUACCUGCGGAGGAAGCCCCGGCUAACUACGUGCCAGCAGCCGCGGUAAUACGUAGGGGGCUAGCGUUAUCCGGAAUUACUGGGCGUAAGGGGUACGUAGGUGGUUUGAUAAGUCUGGGGUGAAAGGCUAGGGCUCAACCGUAGUAAGCCUUUGAAACUGGGAAACUUGAGUGCAGGAGAGGAGAGUGGAAUUCCUAGUGUAGCGGUGAAAUGCGUAGAUAUUAGGAGGAACACCAGUGGCGAAGGCGGCUCACUGGACUGUAACUGACGCUGAGGCACGAAAGCGUGGGGAGCAAACAGGAUUAGAUACCCUAGUAGUC
Molecule: ribosomal RNA, 439 nt
Filed under: uncultured bacterium
Lineage: Bacteria
Description: partial 16S ribosomal RNA
Rfam family: Bacterial small subunit ribosomal RNA
Source: RNAcentral